CUUAUAACAAUAUUUGAGAAAGAAUUUCUGCGUGUGACCAGAAAUCGACCAGUAGAGCGAUAUACUGCUGUUGCCUUUAUUCAUAUGACAAAUAUAUAUAAUAUCCUAAGUAGUAGUUAGAUUCCUGUUCUUUAUAAAUAAAGAUGUGAAUAGCCUCCGCCAAUGUGUCAGUAAUAUGUACAUGUCAGGUAUAUGGAUUUGAUAAUGAGAUAGUGGUCACAAUUAUUAGUGAUGUUAUGUAAACAACAACACAUAGCAUAAAUUAGUCUAAAAAGACCAAUAUUGUAUCUUAUUUAGAUUGUUUUAAGCUAAACUGUAAAAUCUUCAUUUUGCUAAAUUAUUCGACUGCAAUUUUUCUUUUUGCUGCUUCUUCACGUUUC
Molecule: long non-coding RNA, 380 nt
Filed under: Mytilus galloprovincialis (Mediterranean mussel)
Lineage: Eukaryota; Metazoa; Mollusca; Bivalvia; Mytilida; Mytilidae
Source: RNAcentral